UUGGAGGGCAAGUCUGGUGCCAGCAGCCGCGGUAAUUCCAGCUCCAAUAGCGUAUAUUAAAGUUGUUGCAGUUAAAAAGCUCGUAGUUGAAUUUCGGGGUCAGUAGGUUGGUCGUGCCACUGGUACGUACUGGUCUCACUGAUUCCUCCUUCCUGAUGAACCGUAAUGCCAUUAAUUUGGUGUUGCGGGGAAACUGGACUGUUACUUUGAAAAAAUUAGAGUGUUUAAAGCAGGCUAACGCUUGAAUACAUUAGCAUGGAAUAAUGAAAUAGGACGUUCGAUCCUAUUUUGUUGGUUUCUAGGAUUGACGUAAUGAUUAAUAGGGAUAGUUGGGGGCAUUAGUAUUCAAUUGUCAGAGGUGAAAUUCUUGGAUUUAUUGAAGACUAACUACUGCGAAAGCAUUUGCCAAGGAUGUUUUCAUUAAUCAAGAACGAAAGUUAGGGGAUCGAAGACGAUCAGAUACCGUCGUAGUCUUAACCAUAAACUAUGCCGACUAGGGAUCGGAUGAUGUUAAUUUUUUAAUGACUCAUUCGGCGCCUUACGGGAAACCAAAGUGUUUGGGUUC
Molecule: ribosomal RNA, 565 nt
Filed under: uncultured Glomeromycotina
Lineage: Eukaryota; Fungi; Glomeromycota
Description: SSU rRNA
Rfam family: Eukaryotic small subunit ribosomal RNA
Source: RNAcentral